This 199-nucleotide long non-coding RNA is filed under the name Capsicum annuum. RNAcentral describes it as "long non-coding RNA (CANN_LNC013730)". Lineage: Eukaryota; Viridiplantae; Streptophyta; Magnoliopsida; Solanales; Solanaceae. The record is from RNAcentral.
CUAGGAUAGGCUCAGAAAUAAUCUCAGGACUCAUUUCAAAAUUCACAGCAAUCAAAGGUGUAACAUAUGAGAAACUGGAUCCAGGAUCCAACAAAGCAUACACAUCAAACUAAAAUAUACGAAGCAUACCAGUAACAACAUCGGGAGAGUCCUCCUGUUCCUGGUGGGACGGUAAAGCAUAGAAUCUAUUCUGGCGCUG